Molecule: long non-coding RNA, 5195 nt
Filed under: Homo sapiens (human)
Lineage: Eukaryota; Metazoa; Chordata; Mammalia; Primates; Hominidae
Description: HSALNT0332034
Source: RNAcentral
UGCACUCCAGCCUGGGCAACACAGCAAGACACCGUCUCAAGAAAAAAAAAAAAAGAUUAUAUUCUUUGUUGAAUAUAACAAAGUGAAUAUAAACAAAAUGAAAAUUUGGGGGAAAAGUAAAAUAUCAUUUGGCAUUAAAGAUAACCCCUUAAGAAAAUCACUAUCAGUACCAAACAUGGAGCCAUCCAGCCAAACCCAUAGAAUUCUAGAACAUCAGAGCUGGAUAAGCCCUUAGAACAAUCUGUCCAAAUCUGUUAUUUUGCAGAGGGGGAAGUGGAGACCCAGCCAUGCAAAGGUAUUAGCAACAGUUAGUUUACAUUUCUUUCUGGCUGCAUUUACAGUGGGUAAAUACAUCUUAACUUUAGUGGGUUGAAAAAGACAGGUGCUAUUUCCUCAAACAAUAUUUUGGCUGCUGGUGAUCGACUCUUAGAGCAAGAGAAACACUUUCUAACAUCGAUGUGGGAUUUUGUGUGUGAUGUGUGGGUUUCCUGAGCUGCUGAGCUUUUCCACAAUCUCCUGCUCUAUUACUUCGUAGCCCACUUUCCUUUAAUACCCACCGUCAGAGAGGUUCUCUUUACCAUUCCUCUGCUCAGCUCCUUCAGAAGUCUGUGUACACCGACAAUAAAUGGCCCAAGUCAAGAGCUCCCAAAUCCUGCCCUGCUAGUCAUUUGGCCUCCUGAUGGCAAACAGAGGUCCUGAGAUUCGGAGAGUGAAGCGGAGUGGCUGCCGGCACCACCUUCUCACCUGCAAGAGCACCCAGAGCCUUGUCCGGAGUUGGGCUUAUUGGAGGAGCUGGUGAAGGAGAAGAGGCUGAGUUGGCUUAAGCACCCCUUCUGCCUGCCUCUAACCCCACACCUUCAGAUCCCUUUAGCUGCUUGCACAGCUCAUGACCUAUGAACGGGGGUGGGGAAGAAGUAGGCAGAAUGGAGUCUGACAUGAGAAAAGUGUCAAUAACAUCCCAUUUCUUGUGUUGAUUCUUGAUUUCUGUUCAUAUUCAAACAUUAUUUUGUUGUAUAUUUUCUUUCGUAGGCCUCCUUAAAAUUCUCGUAGAAUGAGGCAAGAUAUAAACACUUACAUAGAAGUUAACAGCAGUGUGUUAAUGAUAUAUGCAGCCAAGCAUAGGCGCUUAUGCCCAGAGUGCGCAAGUAUACAGAGGACAUUCAGUGGCCAAAGUUGGCUAGAGUUGCUUUGGUCCUUGAUCAAGUCCUGUUUAGAUUUCUCCACCCAAAUAAGUUACAUCAAUACUGACUAGAUAAUACAUAUUCAACAGGCAGUACACCCCCUGAUCAUUGUGGAUAUCACAAUUCAGGAAAUCAUUUACUUACUAAACAUUUUUACUUACUAAACAUUUACUUACUAAACUUUUGUGUCCCCUACUAAACUUUUAGCUUCUAGAGAGUAGAAACCAUGUCCUGUUGUUCUUUAUGCUUAUAGUACUUGGCCCACAACUGAUGCACAAUGGAUCACGAGGGGUGACUAGAUAAAUGAGAAUUUUUUAAUGGCAAGAUGAUUCAGAGCAAAUGAAAUGUAGAAUAUCAUAAUAUUUUAUAAGGAAUGGCAUUUUGGGCAAGUUAUUACUUGUACGUACUUUUAGAAACAGUCUCUUCCUCUAACCAAAUGCUUCUGAGUAGGAUCCUGCUUUAAUGGAUAGAAAAACAUGAGUUCUCAUUAGUAUGCACAGCACUGAAGCCCAGUUACAUUUUUUUUUUAAAUAAGCACACUUUUUAAGUGCUGCCAUGCAGUGUCAUCGCUCCAAAAGCUUAUCACAUUGUUCAUUUUCUUAGCAGGCUCAGUUCUACUGAUGGUGUAAAGUUUCAACCGGGGCUCUUCAUAAUUAUUACGAAUUCUUAAGACUGAAAUCAGGUGGCUUUUUAUUUUUAGUGUCCUUAUUGUGCUCACUCAAGACUAUAUAUUCAGCAGUGUGCAGUCUAUGCCUGACUGUAUAAAAGACUGGAAUGUUCACACACUAUAAUGAAUAAUGAGUGUCAGUGAACUCAUUACAGUAAAUCCUUAGGUAAUUACUUUCUGCCUUAGUUGGGGGACUUAUGGUAGCAUAAGCUAAAAUUAUUUCAUCUCCAGACAAACCCUGAGGUGGCUGUUGGAGUUAAAUAUAAUUCAUUUGCAGCAUGUUUAUUAUAGUUAAAUUUAACUAAUUUAGGGCCUGUUGCUGGCCAGAAGCUGAGGAGGAGGAAGUUGCAGUGUCCAUGAGUACCUCAGAAAAAUGAGGCUUCAUGGCCGAGCUUUCAGAGCAUGACGUAAGAGUUACUCCCACUCUGUCUCUGCUCUUCCUGUCCCCAGAGCUGGAUGGGUUUGUUCAUGAAAGUGAUUGGCUAAUGAGCUCUUCAGGCAUAGGAUUAAUGUGGUGUAGCAAGAGGAAGUCUCAGCGUUGAGCUGGGGCUCUGCUCAGUUCUCUCCUCUGUUUCUGCCGGAACUUCCUGGUGUUACAGAAAGAACUAUGGUGUUCAAGGUCACUGUUGUAUGAAUGGAUUUAUCAGCAGAUGGUGAGGCUCCCCCUUCUCGUGCCCCAUUUCCACUCAACACUGUCGGGCCAGUCUGGGCGUUAUUUCUUCCUAAGCCUUCCAGCCUGGAAGACUUAGCUCUGGAAAAAAUAGGAAAGGACUUACUCCAAGAACCAAGCACAUGUUUACAGAGGAUGGUUUAACCUUUAAAGAUGUUGCCACUGAAGAGUUUUUAGAUUAGAUUUUGCCUCAUGAGAGCUCUUCUGAGCUGGAUGGCUUGCUCUACCAAAGAUGUUACAGGGACACCCGCAGGAGAAAUCGCAUCAACGCGGGGAGGUGAGGCUUCUGAGCCAUCGCUUGUGUCUAAGAACAUAAGCCAAAAAUCACUGUAGGGGGACUGUUCCCCAGAAGACAGGGACCUUGCCAGGAGAGGAAACACAAUUCCGAUCAUCGUGAGGAACGUGCAUUUGCGGAAGACAUUGUCCUACUUUUCCACAAAAAUACCAUGUCUCCAUUCUGGAAAUAUGUGCACUGUGCUAAUUGCUCAAGAGAAGGUAGCAGUUGGAAAAAGUCCAGAGAAGGAUGAGUAGAUGAACACAGGAAUCAGUCGGUAGCCGUGGGAACAGCAAAGCCCCUUCAGUGGGAAGGCAAGAGUAAAGAGAAGACAGCACUGAAGUCUGUGGAAUCUAAAGCGGCUUUGGUGGGGUUUCCUCACCGACCCAAAGUGCAGAGCUAGCAGGGUAGGCACACCCACCCGUGCCUGUGGUGGCCCGCCCUAAGACUCUAUCCAGGACAGCCACCUCAGCCUCACUAUCCCCUGGCCACGUCCUGGCCGUUCAGUCCCACCGUGACGCAGCUUACAAGCUGCAGAACCGUCUGCCUCUCAAGCCAGUGUUCCUCCCACUGUACCACAGUUGCUUCCGUUGGGUCCAGACUCUUCUGAAAACUCCCCUUUUCAAUUUUACUCAAACAGAUUUUGGCCAUGGAAAUGGUUUGUGACUUUAACGGGCAAGCUGUGAUAUAAAAAGUAAACCAUGGGUUACAUAACUUCAGGGGCAGGUUAACUUUUCCAGAAUUCUGGUCUCAAAGUAAAGAUUUAGAUUUAGUUGAGGCUAUAAAAAUUCAGGAAAAAAUAAUAAAGCAUUUCUACACCUCCCUCCUUCCCCUUGCGAGCCCCCCUUAAAAAUAGCAUCUGAAGUUUCAUUGUAGCUGAGUCACUGCUUGGUGCGAUCUAGGGCUAGGCUGCAACUGGACCUGUCAGAAUGAGGCCACAGUGAUUCAUGAUGAAGCUAAGUUUGGUUGCCACUGACAACAUGUGUUCCUCUCUGUUCUUUCCCUGGAGUUUGGAGACACUGUAUUUUGCCUUUGGAUUAGAAACGCCUUUGAGUGGUGAGAGUAAUGGGAUGAGAUGGGCCACUGCAAUUAAAGAGCCCUCUGGGCCCUCUUUCUGUGACACCCUAGCCAUUUGUUAGGGGAAGGUAGGAGUAAUUAACAUAACCAAAGACCUUUGGGGCUGUGAAGGGAAUUUAUCUCCUCUGCCUUUGCAGUUUAGCAUCAAGUCAGUCUACCAACCAAGAGCCCCCCAACACCUUUUCUGGGCCCCAAACUGUGCUUCCCAUUGAGGAAAGGCAAAUGAUAGAAUAUGCGGUCCCUACCCUGAAGGAAUUUGGGGAAGCACAAACCAAUUAGAGAAGCACUGUCUACUUCCCACGUUGAUUAUAAUCAUGUAUGUGUCAGUUUCCACGUUUGCGCCUGGAGGGCAGAAGCCACAGCUGGUUUUGCUGUGCAUGGCACCUGUGUUCCUGGAGCUGAAGUGAAUGGGUCCUGCCUCCAGCACCUGCUUCCCCACUUCUGCCAUCAGAAAGACUCGUUCGGGAAAACAUUCCUUCAUUCCCUUCCUAGGGCACCACAGUUAAUAAGGCCACAAAUUUGGGCCUGUCCAUCCUGGUGCAAGUAUCUGAGGAAGCAAGAAGAGAUCCGGGUUAGCAAGGAUACGAUUACAAUGCUUUUAUUUUUUUAAUGGGACUUGGGCGGUGAGGAAAUUCUAUGUUCCCCGUCAUUUAUGCAGACUCCAGCUAAACGUAUGCUAGUUGAACUCAUGCCAGCUCUGUGGAAGUGAGGGACAGAUACAAGAAACAUGGGAACUUUCCAAGAAAUGAAGCUUCUUUGCUGCCAUGUCGAUGAUGCUUGUUUCUGAGAAACUCAAAUGUAUGGAAGUGUAGAGUAGAGCUUCCCAAACAGGGUGCCGUAGUUCACAGAUUUGCACACAGGGGUGCCAGCAUAAUGAUCUCUGCAGCUCUUGGCACACCUUGGUAUGUCUGGAGUAUGAGAUGGACUUAACAUAUGAAUAUACAUAUAAAUAUAUAUAAUGUAUCUGUACAUCUUAGGGACUAGACAAACAAGGUGUUAAAUGUGUUCCUCUCUGGAUGGUAGGUUUAUGGAAUCCUUUAAUCAUUUUACUUAUUUGCUUAUUUAAACUUCUGAAUCUGUAACAAUUUAUUGUGUGUGUGGAAGAAUUCUUUCAGCCCAACCAAAUACUAGCCAAAAUAUUGAAGUGGAAGGUAUCAGUGUUCGGUGAUCCAGCCAAAGGUUUAUGUAUAUGUUUUAUUCAAACACUGUCUUAGAAACCAUUUGCCCUGAGGAUGUGUCCUCUAUUUUGUCAGUUUAAAAAGGAUUCUUUUCAGUUAGUGCAUUCUCAUUAAAAAAAAAAAAAAAAAAAAAGGAAAGAAAAAGAAA